Molecule: non-coding RNA, 208 nt
Organism: Oryza barthii
Lineage: Eukaryota; Viridiplantae; Streptophyta; Magnoliopsida; Poales; Poaceae
Source: Rfam
AGAAAUAAUAAACCUUGAUUUUCGUAUCCAACGUUUAACUGUCCAUCUUAUAUAAAAUUUUCUUAUAAUUAGUAUUUUCAUUGUUGUUAGAUGAUAAAACAUGAUUAAUAUUUUAUGCGUGACUUAUAUUUUUAAUUUUUUUCAUAAUUUUUUUCAAAUAAGACGGAUGGUCAAACGUUGGACAUGUAAAUCUAGGGUUUGUCUUUUU